ACUCCUACGGGAGGCAGCAGUGAGGAAUAUUGGACAAUGGGGGCAACCCUGAUCCAGCCAUCCCGCGUGUAGGAAGACGGCCUUAUGGGUUGUAAACUACUUUUAUACAGGAAGAAACGUACCCUCGUGAGGGUGCCUGACGGUACUGUAGGAAUAAGCACCGGCUAACUCCGUGCCAGCAGCCGCGGUAAUACGGAGGGUGCGAGCGUUAUCCGGAUUUAUUGGGUUUAAAGGGUCCGUAGGCGGGUUAAUAAGUCAGUGGUGAAAUCCCAUCGCUUAACGAUGGAACUGCCAUUGAUACUGUUAGUCUUGAAUGAGGGUGCAGUGGUUGGAAUGUGUAGUGUAGCGGUGAAAUGCAUAGAUAUUACACAGAACACCGAUUGCGAAGGCAGAUCACUAACCCUAAAUUGACGCUGAGGGACGAAAGCGUGGGGGAGCGAACAGGAUUAGAUACCCUGUAGACUGUC
This 467-nucleotide ribosomal RNA is filed under the name uncultured bacterium. RNAcentral describes it as "bacterial SSU rRNA". It matches the Rfam family "Bacterial small subunit ribosomal RNA", at positions 335 to 798 of the family's 1533-position model. The record is from RNAcentral.